Molecule: RNA transcript, 2277 nt
Organism: Brassica oleracea var. oleracea
Lineage: Eukaryota; Viridiplantae; Streptophyta; Magnoliopsida; Brassicales; Brassicaceae
Gene name: flowering time control protein FCA
Exons: 14
Source: RefSeq, a predicted model, not a curated record
CCGAACCAUAUCAAAACCUACGACUCUCUCUCUCUCUUUCUCACUCAACCGGCGCCGGAGAUAUUUCCCGAUUACACUAAUCGAGUCAAGCAGAGGUGUUUUUGGAUGGAAAGACGCGUCGCAAACGCCUUCCCUGGACCUGGUCCUCCACCAACACAAGUUCCCUAUUAUCAUAACAACAACAACAACUACAACCCUCAUCAGAUUCAUCCGUCGCACCACCAUGUCUCCGCCGUUGGAUUCCACCAAUACCCACAAAACGACAAUAGAGAUCAGCGUUUCAAUCAGCCGCAUUUUGAUAAUCAACAGCAACCCAAUAUGAUCGUUGACGCUCCGCCGCUUCCACCGAGUGGUGAGUUUAGUCCUUGCGGCGGCGGAAGCAGCUUGAGGAAGAGACGCUCUCUAUCCUCCUCCACCACCCCAGAUCCUAGUGCUGCUGCUGAUGGUUGUAUUGCCAAGUUAUAUGUUGCGCCUCUUCCAAAGACAGCUAAGGAAGACGAUGUCCGUCAGGUGUUUGAAAAGUAUGGUAAUGUCACUGAGAUCAUCCUACCCAGAGAUAAGAUGAGCGGUGAACGAGCAGCUUACUGUUUUGUCAAGUACAGAAAGCUAGAAGAGGGUAAUGCCGCUAUUGCAGCUUUAACAGAUCAGUAUACCUUUCCUGGGGAAAUGUCUCCAGUUCAGGUUAGGUAUGCCGGCGCUGAACGUGAACGGAUUGGUGUUUCAACAGUGCAAAUUCCUGAUAAGUUAUAUGUUAGAUGCCUUAACAAACAAACAACAAAAACGGACGUCCAUGAGGUAUUUUGUAGGUUCGGAGUCAUUGAAGAUAUUUAUAUGGCAGUCGACGACAUGAAGGUUAGCCGUGGGUUUGCAUUUGUUCAGUUUUCUCGUAAGGAGAUGGCACUAGCAGCAAUCAAAGGGUUAAAUGGAGUAUUUACCAUGCGGGGUUCUGAUCAGCCUCUGAUUGUUAGAUUUGCAGACCCUAAAAGACCUCGUCUAGGGGAACCAAGGUCUAACUUUAAUGCUUCGCCUGCAAUGCAACAAUUCGAUCCAAAUUGGCACCCACAACCAUAUCCCCAGUGGGGAAACAAAGAACCUGCAGCCCCAAGAGUUGUUGAUUUCGCUUCACAGCCUAAUCACUUCCCGCAGCAAAAUGCUCAAGCAGUAUCCGCGUUUCAAACACCGAUGCAUCAAGAUUUUGAGAAGCAUCAGACUGCCAGCGUGGAGACUAGAAGCGAUGGUCAGAAGAUUUCUAGUCGUUCAAAUGCCAUUCAUGAAGAUCAAAAUACAGAAGAAUGUGACUGGAGUGAACACACUUGUCCUGAUGGGAACAAGUAUUAUUUCCAUUGUGUCACUUUUGAAAGCACGUGGGAGAAACCAGAGGAGUACUCCAUGUUUGAGAGAUGGUUCGACGAGCAAAUAAGGCUACAAGAUCAAAAUAUUGCCAAGAGCCAAGAUGCAAUCAAAAACACCCAGCAAGAUGGGUCUACUCUACUCCAACAACAAUCCUUAUCCACAGCGGAUGAGGAGAACAUUUCCGUAUAUCCGGUAACAAGAGUGGCUGCUGAAUCAACCUGUUCAUAACAGUUGAGUCUCUUUACUAAAAGGAAGCUAAUAUUACAUCUCACAAGAUCUUCUUAUAUUAUCCUGCUAUUUCAAUACAGGACAAGUCACCAGACAAGUAUUUUGGAAAGGAGAAUGAAAAAAAGAGUAGUCCUGAGGUAAAAAGAAGUUGAUUUCUUCAAGACUCUGAACAUUUGGUACAUAUUUGCUGGAAUCCAAUUGAAAAGGUGUUAUGAAAGUUGGUUCGAAACCUCUGCAGCUUAUAGUCUCGCGCAUUUGUUUCUGAGCAACAAGACACUCUAGUGAUGUCCACCACACCUUUUUAAUAAAAGAAAAACGCUUUCUUGGUCAUUUGAUAUAAACCCACCACACAUAUCUUGGUUGGUUUUAAUUACACAAUAUGUUUAAAAAAAUAUUUACGAUAGCAAGAAAAAGUCGACAACUGAAAGUUAACUAAAAGUUGGAGUUUAUUUGGUAAAUAAAACCUAUAAUUUCACCUGAUCCGAACCAAAAACUAAAAAUCCAUUUUUCAAUUCAAAGUGCCUCUGGGCGAAAGAGAGGGUUCAUCAUCGUCAAUAAUUACGUUCUCUUUAAAAGGCCCAAAUAGAUUUGCAGACCAAAGAAAGAAGAAGCCACUCUCUCUUUGCAGAAACAAACAUCAACUUUACUCCUGAAUUCUCCAGAAGAAGAAGAGAAGGUGGUGGUUAGGAUCUAAAA